This 69-nucleotide transfer RNA is filed under the name Rattus norvegicus (Norway rat). It matches the Rfam family "tRNA". From Rfam's summary of the family: Transfer RNA (tRNA) molecules are approximately 80 nucleotides in length. Their secondary structure includes four short double-helical elements and three loops (D, anti-codon, and T loops). Further hydrogen bonds mediate the characteristic L-shaped molecular structure. tRNAs have two regions of fundamental functional importance: the anti-codon, which is responsible for specific mRNA codon recognition, and the 3' end, to which the tRNAs corresponding amino acid is attached (by aminoacyl-tRNA synthetases). tRNAs cope with the degeneracy of the genetic code in two manners: having more than one tRNA (with a specific anti-codon) for a particular amino acid; and 'wobble' base-pairing, i.e. permitting non-standard base-pairing at the 3rd anti-codon position. The record is from Rfam by way of RNAcentral. Lineage: Eukaryota; Metazoa; Chordata; Mammalia; Rodentia; Muridae.
GGGGAUUUGGCUCAGUGGUAGAGUGCUUGCCUAGCAAGUACAAGGCCCUGGGUUCGGUCCCCAGCUCCG